UAGGGAAUCUUCCGCAAUGGACGAAAGUCUGACGGAGCAACGCCGCGUGAGUGAAGAAGGAUUUCGGUUCGUAAAACUCUGUUGUUAGGGAAGAAAAAAUGUAUAGUAACUAUAUACAAAAGAGACGGUACCUAACCAGAAAGCCACGGCUAACUACGUGCCAGCAGCUGCGGUAAUACGUAGGUGGCAAGCGUUGUCCGGAAUUAUUGGGCGUAAAGCGCGCGCAGGUGGUUUAGAAAGUAUGAUGUGAAAGCCCACGGCUCAACCGUGGAGGGUCAUUGGAAACUAAUAAACUUGAGUGCAGGAGAGAAAAGUGGAAUUCCUAGUGUAGCGGUGAAAUGCGUAGAGAUUAGGAGGAACACCGGUGGCGAAAGCGGCUUUUUGGCCUGCAACUGACACUGAGGCGCGAAAGCGUGGGGAGCAAACAGG
This 429-nucleotide ribosomal RNA is filed under the name Verrucomicrobiota bacterium. RNAcentral describes it as "Verrucomicrobia bacterium partial 16S ribosomal RNA". It matches the Rfam family "Bacterial small subunit ribosomal RNA", at positions 355 to 776 of the family's 1533-position model. Lineage: Bacteria; Pseudomonadati; Verrucomicrobiota. The record is from RNAcentral.